This 73-nucleotide transfer RNA is filed under the name Phycisphaeraceae bacterium. RNAcentral's name for it is "tRNA-Lys". It matches the Rfam family "tRNA". From Rfam's summary of the family: Transfer RNA (tRNA) molecules are approximately 80 nucleotides in length. Their secondary structure includes four short double-helical elements and three loops (D, anti-codon, and T loops). Lineage: Bacteria; Pseudomonadati; Planctomycetota; Phycisphaerae; Phycisphaerales; Phycisphaeraceae. The record is from RNAcentral. RNAcentral also lists the same sequence under 1 other name.
GCCUCCCUAGCUCAAUCGGUAGAGCAUCUGACUCUUAAUCAGCAGGUUGCCGGUUCGAGUCCGGCGGGGGGCA